UACAAUGACUCUCGGCAACGGAUAUCUCGGCUCUUGCAUCGAUGAAAAACGUAGCGAAAUGCGAUACUUGGUGUGAAUUGCAGAAUCCCGUGAACCAUCGAGUCUUUGAACGCAAGUUGCGCCCGAAGCCAUUAGGCCGAGGGCACGUCUGCCUGGGUGUCACA
RNAcentral lists this ribosomal RNA (164 nucleotides) under Coursetia rostrata. RNAcentral's name for it is "5.8S ribosomal RNA". It matches the Rfam family "5.8S ribosomal RNA". From Rfam's summary of the family: 5.8S ribosomal RNA (5.8S rRNA) is a component of the large subunit of the eukaryotic ribosome. Lineage: Eukaryota; Viridiplantae; Streptophyta; Magnoliopsida; Fabales; Fabaceae. The record is from RNAcentral.